CGACGGUAUCCGUUUACUUAUCGAAAUGAUAAACUGCGAUCUAUAACUUACAAUUGUUAUAAACCUUUGCAUGACAGAUUUGUAUUUAACAGGACGGUAACUUACAUAACACACUACAAUGCGACUUCUGCAGCUGGCGAUCGUGUAUUUGAGUGCCAAAGUGACGAGUCUUGUUGUCUGGACAGGAUCAACACACCAAAUAACAUCUUCCA
Dreissena polymorpha is the source of this 212-nucleotide long non-coding RNA. RefSeq lists it as uncharacterized. The transcript is spliced from 3 exons. The record is from RefSeq and is a predicted model, not a curated record. Lineage: Eukaryota; Metazoa; Mollusca; Bivalvia; Myida; Dreissenidae.